This 76-nucleotide transfer RNA is filed under the name Candidatus Glomeribacter gigasporarum BEG34. Its description in RNAcentral is "tRNA-Lys". It matches the Rfam family "tRNA". Rfam says of the family: Transfer RNA (tRNA) molecules are approximately 80 nucleotides in length. Their secondary structure includes four short double-helical elements and three loops (D, anti-codon, and T loops). Lineage: Bacteria; Pseudomonadati; Pseudomonadota; Betaproteobacteria; Burkholderiales; Burkholderiaceae. The record is from RNAcentral.
GGGUCGUUAGCUCAGCCGGUAGAGCAGCGGACUUUUAAUCCGUUGGUCGUAGGUUCGAUCCCUACACGACCCACUA